RNAcentral lists this ribosomal RNA (497 nucleotides) under uncultured bacterium. RNAcentral's name for it is "partial 16S ribosomal RNA". It matches the Rfam family "Bacterial small subunit ribosomal RNA", at positions 28 to 507 of the family's 1533-position model. The record is from RNAcentral.
GAUGAACGCUGGCGGCGUGCCUAAUACAUGCAAGUCGAGCGAACAGACGAGGUGCUUUCUCCUCUGACUUUAUCGGCGGCCGAGUGAUUAACACGACGAUAACCUCCCUAUCCGUCUUGGAUAAUUUCCGCAAACAGGUGCUACUACUGCAUAAUAUAUUGAACCGCUUGGUUCAUUAGUGAAAGACGGUUUUGCUUUCACUUAUAGAUGGACCCGCGCCGCAUUAGCUAGUUGGUAGGGUAAUGGCCUACCAAGGCAACGAUGCGUAGCCGACCUGAGAGGGUGAUGGGCGACACUGGUACUGAGACGCGGUCCAGACGCCUACUGGAGGAAGCAGUAGGGAAUAAUCCGGCAUGGGCGGAAGCCUGACGGUGCAGCGCCGCGGGAGGGAUGAAGGUCUUCUGAUCGUAGAACUCUGUUAUUAGGAAUGAACAAGUGUGGAAGUAACUAUGCACGUCUUGACGGUACCUAAUCAGAAAGCCACGGCUAACUACGUG